UAGAUCAAGAACCAAAGAAAUCAGAGUUAGAUCGAGGAAAAGUUAAAGUCGUCGACUAAUCGUCCGGUUUCGAUUUUACACUGUCCGAGAUCAAGCUUCAAGCUCGGGGAUCGUCAGCAAGAUCAUCACUCUAUCUACUGUCUCGGUAUUAAACUGUUUAAAUUUUAAUUAUGGCAUGUACAGGCUAGAUAAAUGUUUUGGAAAGUCGUACUUUGAUAUAUUGUAUAUGAAAUUAAUAGUCAUACGAAAAUUACUUA
Long non-coding RNA from Gossypium raimondii (Peruvian cotton), 257 nucleotides. RefSeq lists it as uncharacterized. Lineage: Eukaryota; Viridiplantae; Streptophyta; Magnoliopsida; Malvales; Malvaceae. The transcript is spliced from 2 exons. The record is from RefSeq and is a predicted model, not a curated record.